AUUCAAUUAGUUGACCCUAAUCGUCAUACACGUAAGGAAAACCAAGAAUGAAAUAUAGAUACAUCCUAUCACGCCCUCGCAUAAUCACGAUUAUGAGAAUGGCGGCUACAUAACCAUAAGUGAGAUUCUUCUACUGACGUGUGCUCCAUUAGUCACAAGAAUAACCUAAAGCUCUGAUAUCAACUUUAUCACGACCCAAUUUAGGAUCAUGACCGGCGCUUAGGAGCAAGUGCCCUCAAGUAAGCAUCACCGGAAUUUUUUAGAAAAUCGGACAGAGUUUCCCCUAUUUUAGGACUAUCCAAAAGUUUUCCUGUCUCAUAAACAAAUAACAACCAACUAAUAUUCACCUAAAUCAGUCACAACCCUCAUCAACUAACCAAAAAUGAGUUUUCACCAAAAUUACAGAACUUAACAACAUAAUAAUACUAAUCCCGUCUCAAAAAUAUGAAAACAAAUGCAAUAUUAGGAACUAAUCCAAUAUAACAAAUGAAUAACCAUAACACUAAUAAAAAUGACUAUGGAGCGACUCUAUGAGUUCAAAAGCAAAGACGAUGACAAAUAAAUAGGCUCUUCGCCCACGCAAACAAGUGCGGGGCUCACCAGGAACUAUUAACUCGUAUACUCCAAUUAAAGAAAUCCUCACUCGCGUCAACUGCUAUCACUGUAAAAAAAAAAAUAGCGGGGAAUGAGUCGCUAGCUCAGUGAAUAAUAAUACUUAACCACAACCCCUUUUUUUCUUGGGGACAAGUCAGAAAACAUGCUCGUACAAUAAUAAAAAAUAUCAUGAAAUAAAUGCCCUUUUUUUCAGAAUCGGUAACAACAAUCAAUCUUGUCUGUUUUCAUGUAAGCAGAAAUCAAUUAACAAUUCAGUAAUAAACUCUGUAAACAUUGUCAUAUCAAUAUAGUUGGGAGUGUUCCAAGAAAGGAUCAUGUAAUCUGUAUCUCUGUGUAGACCCCUUCAUAAAAAGAGUCAAAUAUAACUCUUGGUCCCUACUCGAGGGAAAACUGUUACUGUAUGCUAGUUCUACCUUCCCACUAGCGAGUUAUAGCCUGUAAUCGGUAAUCUGUAAAUGCAAGGUGCACCAGGUCUAGCGAAUCCGCCAUUAGGUACGGGAUCCUUCAAAGUCUCCUCCCAUUUAUACUCUUUCU
RNAcentral lists this long non-coding RNA (1149 nucleotides) under Nicotiana benthamiana. RNAcentral's name for it is "long non-coding RNA (NBEN_LNC002666)". Lineage: Eukaryota; Viridiplantae; Streptophyta; Magnoliopsida; Solanales; Solanaceae. The record is from RNAcentral.